Molecule: unclassified non-coding RNA, 322 nt
Filed under: uncultured Entrophospora
Lineage: Eukaryota; Fungi; Glomeromycota; Glomeromycetes; Entrophosporales; Entrophosporaceae
Description: uncultured Claroideoglomus sequence contains ITS2
Source: RNAcentral
AACGCAUAUUGCACUCUCUGGUAAUCCGGGGAGUAUGCCUGUUUGAGGGUCAGUAAAUAAUAAUUAUCAUAAUCUUUUGAUUGUGGAAUUGGGCCUUUAUUUCAUUUUAAUGAUUUAUGGCCUUAAAUUUAUGUUACCGCUUGUUUAAUAUGAAAUUCGACCGAAUGGAGCAAUUAAACAUUCUCUCGUUAGGCGGAUUCAUCAAGCAAUUACGAUUUUUUGGCCGUCGAAGCACUUUUUUUUUUAGAAGUGCUUGGUCGAGAUUGUAAGAUACAUUUUUAACAAUGACCUCAAAUCAGGCAAGAAUACCCGCUGAACUUAA